AUGGCGGCCGCUUCCUCCCUCCGGAACGCCCUUUUUCCACUCCUCCGCAAGCGCAUCGCCAUGGCGCGACGGAUGUCGACGACCGGCACCGGCACCGGGGCAGGGAUCACCGGCGGAGGCAGCGGGACCGGAGGGGCGGCCAACUCCGGCGGAGCCAGGACGACCGGAUCCGGCGGCGCGUCAAACUCCGGUGGGAGGAUGGCGGGCGGCGGCUCCGCGGGCAACUCAGGCGGCAGCGGAGGGGCGACGGGGGUUGAUCGUCUAAGGAAGGACAUCUUUAAAGAAACUAGACGCCUGUGGGAGGGCUACAACGUGCUGUCGGAGGUGGACAGGAACUUAUUUGGGGAGAUCGCGCGUCUUGAAAUGGACAAUGCCAUGAAUAUGGUCAACGCCAAGGUGGAUUUAGUGUCUACUACCUACAAGUUCUUGGGUUCGACCGCAGUUUUCAUCAUUGCCUUUGCAUCGUGCUUGGGGCCGUAUAUCAAGGAUUCGGUGGUGCAUGAUGCCGCCAAGGAGGUUGAUGAAAGAAUGACGCUUCGCAAGCAGCAAGGUGAAGGUGUUGGCAAGACUGCUACUCCAGGAGACGCGGCACCCACGACCAAGGUCCACACCCAGCCUGAUGCUGCUGCUGCACCAACAGGCGGCUCGGCGUCGGCGGCUCCCGGCGCACCGGCAACCGUGGAGGUCAAGAACAGGGCUGCACCGGCACCCGAGGAUGUCAAGAAGAAGGGCGCUGCUACACCCGGAGCAGGCUCGGCGUCUGUCAACAACUGA
RNAcentral lists this ribosomal RNA (774 nucleotides) under Triticum aestivum (bread wheat). RNAcentral's name for it is "partial small subunit ribosomal RNA". The record is from RNAcentral. Lineage: Eukaryota; Viridiplantae; Streptophyta; Magnoliopsida; Poales; Poaceae.